Molecule: ribosomal RNA, 372 nt
Filed under: uncultured bacterium
Lineage: Bacteria
Description: bacterial SSU rRNA
Rfam family: Bacterial small subunit ribosomal RNA
Source: RNAcentral
UACGGAGGGUGCAAGCGUUAUCCGGAUUUAUUGGGUUUAAAGGGUCCGUAGGCGGACUUAUAAGUCAGUGGUGAAAGCCUGUCGCUUAACGAUAGAACUGCCAUUGAUACUGUAAGUCUUGAGUAUAUUUGAGGUAGCUGGAAUAAGUAGUGUAGCGGUGAAAUGCAUAGAUAUUACUUAGAACACCAAUUGCGAAGGCAGGUUACCAAGAUAUAACUGACGCUGAGGGACGAAAGCGUGGGGAGCGAACAGGAUUAGAUACCCUGGUAGUCCACGCCGUAAACGAUGCUAACUCGUUUUUGGAGCGCAGGCUUCAGAGACCAAGCGAAAGUGAUAAGUUAGCCACCUGGGGAGUACGCUCGCAAGAGUGAA